UAGGGAAUCUUCCGCAAUGGGCGAAAGCCUGACGGAGCAACGCCGCGUGAGUGAUGAAGGUCUUCGGAUCGUAAAACUCUGUUAUUAGGGAAGAACAAAUGUGUAAGUAACUAUGCACGUCUUGACGGUACCUAAUCAGAAAGCCACGGCUAACUACGUGCAAGCAGCCGCGGUAAUACGUAGGUGGCAAGCGUUAUCCGGAAUUAUUGGGCGUAAAGCGCGCGUAGGCGGUUUUUUAAGUCUGAUGUGAAAGCCCACGGCUCAACCGUGGAGGGUCAUUGGAAACUGGAAAACUUGAGUGCAGAAGAGGAAAGUGGAAGUCCAUGUGUAGCGGUGAAAUGCGCAGAGAUAUGGAGGAACACCAGUGGCGAAGGCGACUUUCUGGUCUGUAACUGACGCUGAUGUGCGAAAGCGUGGGGAUCAAACAGG
Molecule: ribosomal RNA, 429 nt
Filed under: Actinomycetes bacterium
Lineage: Bacteria; Bacillati; Actinomycetota; Actinomycetes
Description: Actinobacteria bacterium partial 16S ribosomal RNA
Rfam family: Bacterial small subunit ribosomal RNA
Source: RNAcentral